RNAcentral lists this ribosomal RNA (516 nucleotides) under uncultured bacterium. Its description in RNAcentral is "bacterial SSU rRNA". It matches the Rfam family "Bacterial small subunit ribosomal RNA", at positions 326 to 839 of the family's 1533-position model. The record is from RNAcentral.
ACGGACCAGACUCCUACGGGAGGCAGCAGUGAGGAAUAUUGGUCAAUGGGCGAGAGCCUGAACCAGCCAAGUAGCGUGGAGGAUGACGGCCCUACGGGUUGUAAACUCCUUUUGCAGGGGAAUAACGGCAGCCACGUGUGGCUGCGUGCAUGCACCUUGCGAAUAAGGAUCGGCUAACUCCGUGCCAGCAGCCGCGGUAAUACGGAGGAUCCGAGCGUUAUCCGGAUUUAUUGGGUUUAAAGGGUGCGUAGGCGGACGUUUAAGUCAGCUGUGAAAGUUCGGUGCUCAACGCCGGAAUUGCAGUUGAUACUGUAUGUCUUGAGUGCACAAGAGGCAGGCGGAAUUCGUGGUGUAGCGGUGAAAUGCUUAGAUAUCACGAAGAACUCCUAUUGCGAAGGCAGCCUGCUGGGGUGUUACUGACGCUGAUGCACGAAAGUGUGGGUAUCAAACAGGAUUAGAUACCCUGGUAGUCCACACAGUAAACGAUGAAUACUCGCUGUCGGCGAUAUACUGUCU